RNAcentral lists this non-coding RNA (31 nucleotides) under Homo sapiens (human). The record is from RNAcentral. Lineage: Eukaryota; Metazoa; Chordata; Mammalia; Primates; Hominidae.
UCACGACAGGCUAUGACGGGGAAAGGUCGCA